UGCAAAUUGUACGUAUCGGAGGGAAGAACACCAAGGACUGUGUCCACAAAGUCCUUGACCGGCUCUUCAGUAAUGCCCUGAUGGUGAGGUUUAAUAUGAAGGGGAAGGGAGAAAAGGGCAAGAAACCUUUGGAGAACACAAAGGUUUAUAGAGCAAUACAAGAUGGAGUCAUGAAAUUUGACCCGGCAGCCACAGAGGGCUUUAUAAGGAUGUGUGCUUCAGAGCAUUUAAAGCAUGCACCACAAAGAUGUGG
Molecule: long non-coding RNA, 253 nt
Organism: Polypterus senegalus (gray bichir)
Lineage: Eukaryota; Metazoa; Chordata; Cladistia; Polypteriformes; Polypteridae
Exons: 3
Source: RefSeq, a predicted model, not a curated record